Molecule: ribosomal RNA, 460 nt
Filed under: uncultured bacterium
Lineage: Bacteria
Description: partial 16S ribosomal RNA
Rfam family: Bacterial small subunit ribosomal RNA
Source: RNAcentral
CCUACGGGGGGCAGCAGUGAGGAAUAUUGGUCAAUGGACGAGAGUCUGAACCAGCCAAGUAGCGUGAAGGAUGACUGCCCUAUGGGUUGUAAACUUCUUUUAUAUGGGAAUAAAAUGUUCCACGUGUGGGAUUUUGUAUGUACCAUAUGAAUAAGGAUCGGCUAACUCCGUGCCAGCAGCCGCGGUAAUACGGAGGAUCCGAGCGUUAUCCGGAUUUAUUGGGUUUAGAGGGAGCGUAGGUGGAUUGUUAAGUCAGUUGUGAAAGUUUGCGGCUCAACCGUAAAAUUGCAGUUGAAACUGGCAGUCUUGAGUACAGUAGAGGUGGGCGGAAUUCGUGGUGUAGCGGUGAAAUGCUUAGAUAUCACGAAGAACUCCGAUUGCGAAGGCAGUUCACUGGACUGCAACUGACACUGAGGCUCGAAAGUGUGGGUAUCAAACAGGAUUAGAUACCCCAGUAGUC